This is a long non-coding RNA of Triticum aestivum (bread wheat), 1155 nucleotides long. RefSeq lists it as uncharacterized. The record is from RefSeq and is a predicted model, not a curated record. The transcript has 3 exons. Lineage: Eukaryota; Viridiplantae; Streptophyta; Magnoliopsida; Poales; Poaceae.
UUGUACGUGUGGAAGGCAGUUGUUCACGGCAGACCAGUGAGCGGCGGCGGGUGGGCGCGACCACAUGGUGGUUGGAAGGUAGGCUUCGCGGCGUUCAACCUCGGCCACCAUCGUACCACGAUCUCGGCCCACCCGGAAAGUCGGAUGAAGAGGUGGUGGACGACUGAUCCCGGAGAGGAGAACAAGCCUCCGAGCACGUGCUCGUCAACUCCAUGCCGGCCGCUCCAAGCGCCCCUGCUUCGUGUCUUCAAGGCAGGCGCCGAGAUAGCCUUUGCAGCGAGCUGUGGUGUGUGGACUCUGCGGCGAGAUGGGAUUCAGAAUCCUUUUCCGUGGUGAGAUAACCCUGCCACCACUCAUAUGCCAUUGCAUAUAAGUGAAUCUGUUUUAUAGAAAUCAAUCUUGCACGUUGGUUAGCUCCGUAAUUUAUUUUAUUCCGUAGCAGACUGAGUUGCUCACAGCCUAUUUGCUGGAACGCCAACGAGGAGUCAUUUUUCCAUCUCCACAAAUAUUCUUGGUCUCUUCAAAUUAAUUGCUUCUUAAUCCAACUACCAUUUUUCAAGAUUAGUUCGUUUAUAUAAUAUUUAUUUUUGUACCAGUGUUGAUCAAGUAGGUUAUUAUUGUGAGGAAUCAGCAGUAGGAUGCACAUGUAUUUGUUUCUUGCCACUGGUUGCAAAAGCCUAAAAAAUGAUAUGUUUUAUUCACCUCUUAACAGUAAUACGAGUAUUUUGUUUAUUUCCUACUCCCUUUUAGUGUUUACUGAUUAGUCACUCUUAAAGGUGAAUGCAUGUGUAUAAUAGGUGUGUCAUGGCUGCAUUUUGCGGCCCCUGACUACUGGAAAGUAAUCUCCUUUGGAUGAUUUGUAUUUUUUUCUGGAAUUUGUACUUAGAUAGCACAUUCAAGGAAGGAAGGAGAUUGAGGUUGGCACCUCCUGAAGGCAUGCAUGCUCUUCACCGAGAGAGGGAAGGGCAUCUUUUUCUUGGGUUGCAGUUUCCACCUUGUUGUUGGGUGAGAGCUCUUGUGGAUAAUCAGACAUGGGGUGCAUGGCAAAAUUAGGACAGACUGAAGGCAGCAAAUUCCGCGUUGGCCGUGCACUUUGAGGAGAAGACAUUGUCUUUGUAUAAGUGCCCCUACAAUCAUCUCUUUACAGCAGAGAUA